Sinocyclocheilus anshuiensis is the source of this 2830-nucleotide RNA transcript. It is a transcript of the gene named vascular endothelial growth factor A-A-like, with no coding region annotated. NCBI's taxonomy places the organism in Eukaryota, Metazoa, Chordata, Actinopteri, Cypriniformes, Cyprinidae. The record is from RefSeq and is a predicted model, not a curated record. The transcript is spliced from 7 exons.
GCGCUGAAAGACAGAGCGAGCGCAAAGUGACAAGACCUCCCCAUACCGCCAGAUAACAUCCACAACGAUAUAAGACAACAAAAGCUAAAGCAAUAGCAGAAAUAAGACGAGGAAAAGAAGGAAACGUCUGCUGCAGUUGAACCAGGGAUUGCCAUCGGAUCACUUUAUACCGGCACAUGUAAUGUCUUGCUCUUGAGGAUAAUCAUAUGCGCAAAAGCCGUUCCCUGGCCCGAAAGUCGCGCGUGCAGAGUGGAGGCUGCGCUUGAAAACUUUUUUGUUUGUUUUGUUUUGUCUGUGACGUUUUAGAAUUCGAUUUAUUAAACGUCGACUUUCCGUUAUACCGUGGCGAAGAAGGAGGACCGAUAUAGUGUGGAUUUUCUCCGGUUUCUUUUAUUAUUUAUUAUUUAAUUUUACUGCAAUUGCUAUUAUUUAUAUUAUUAUAUUUUCUGGAGGAGCGCUAACGCUCAAGAAGUUCAUUUUAGUGGAUUCGACGCAGGUGCUUCGGUGCUGAAGGGCAGAAUGGAAUUGUUACUUUGACCCACGAUAUCACACGGUUCAUUCAUAUUCAUACUCCACUUUUAAUAGUUCUGAGAGCCAGAGACUGUUCAGUGACGCUCGCCGCGACACACCACUGGAAUUACAAUCAUGAACUUUGUUGUUUAUUCGCUACAAUUAUUUUUUGCGGCUCUCCUUCAUCUUUCUGCUGUAAAGGCUGCCCACAUACCCAAAGAAGGGGGGAAGAGCAAAAAUGAGGUGAUUCCCUUCAUGGAUGUGUAUAAAAAAAGUGCGUGUAAGACUCGAGAGAUGCUGGUAGACAUCAUUCGGGAGUAUCCUGACGAGAUCGAGCACACGUACAUCCCGUCCUGUGUGGUUCUCAUGCGCUGUGCAGGCUGCUGCAAUGACGAAGCGCUCGAGUGUGUCCCUACAGAGACCCGCAACGUCACCAUGGAGGUACUGCGAGUCAAACAUCGUGUAUCACAGCAUAAUUUUCAACUGAGUUUCACAGAACACACCAAGUGUGAAUGCAGGCAAAAGGAAGAAGUCAAAUCAAAGAAAGAAAAAAAACCCAGAGUGGGGAGGGUUAAAAGCCGAAAGAGAGCGAGAGAGGGAGAUUCGGGCGAUCUCAGCGCCUCGGCUCACCUGCGCUCAAGCAGUAUUUUGCUCUCAGUCAUUGGCUUUAUUUCAGGACAGAUUGUUUGCUCUUUGUAAUCGCACUUGUCCUGUCGGCUUAAAGCCUCAGUCUGCAUUUAUUUGUACUCAAAUUCACACUGUUGGCCCAGGAAUGCAACCAAAGAUGUGAAAAACCAAGAUGAUGAGCGGAGCGCUGGGAAGAACACUGAAUGAAGGAUUUUAUUUUAUUUUUUACGGCACAGCACUUUUAAACCUGAGGAUGCAUUCCCUGGACGAACUGUAAACACUACCCUGAACGAAAGACGGAAGGCGAUAUCAUCCCGAUGUCUAUUUUUAAGAUAUUAAUAUAUGAAUAUAUAGAAUAUAUAUAUAUUAUAUAUAUAUUAAAUGACAAUGUGUGUCGCUGCUAUCACCUACAAACAAGUAAACGAAGACGCUGCUUGGCGUGUGAAUGGGAUAUAUUUCAGUGUCACUGCACCUGGGCCUGUGAUUGGACAGAACGCAGUGAGGUAAAGCUUCACUGGAUCGGCCCACUGUGGAUUCAUAUUUAAAGACUCGGAAUGAAUGUCCAAGACUUCACUGAGAGGUGCAAAAGACAACCUCCAACCCUUUAUAUGAAUAGUUACAGACUGUCAAUCAAAGGAGAGGAAGUGACAUAAUAGCGAUUCUUUCUGGGUCCAGGCAUGGGAUACAAAUGCAGAACUAUCUCUUUCUGUGAUGUCACUCUUACUAGGGUGAAGUCUUAGUCAAAAAGACACCUGUACUGAUUAACAUCUAAUAGGACUUGGUGGGAUAAUACUAAAGGGAUAUUACAUGUAUGUAUACAUGGAAAUAAAAAAAAAACGAUAAAUGUGACAAAAUGCAAAUUCUGACUUUUGCUAAAGGGGACAAACUCAUUCCGUUCACCGCAGUAGUAAAAGAAAACUCAAAUAUUUAAGGUUCGUAACGUUUUCCAAAGAGAAUACUGCACAUGACUUUAGGAGCUGUUCAUUAUCACACAAUAUCUGUAUAUACAUAUCCCUAAUAUCCCUUUGUGUAGUUCACUACAUCUAAUUUAUAAUGUUAGAAUAUGUUCAGUAUUCUGUGUAUUUAAUUUGAUCUAUUUAUAUGCAGUGUUAUCGUUGAUAUUGUUUCGCUUUGUUUCCUAUCGACAUUGUCACCAAUCUGAAAAACUGUGGACGGCUUUUAUAGAAUGAAAGACAAAAGAGAGACAAGCACUUCAACAUUCCUGAAAGCGCCUUUUUUAGUUCAUUUUAACGUUUUUGUAUCAGCGAUCAGUUUGGUGGAGACACAAAACCUGCGGACGAGGAUUUGUGAUCGAAAAACAAACAUUCUCUUUGUGUGAAAGUGCCAGAAAUGAGUUUUCUGUUUGUUUGUUUGCCAUGUACAGCCACAUUUUCAGUAUAUUUUCACAGUAAUAUAUUUAUUGGUGCUGUUAAAUAUUAACAUCCUUUUGUGUUUUUAGUAUAACUAUUAAACAUAUUUAUUUUCAAAUGAUAUUGUUUUUUAUUAAAGCAAAAAUGGAUUUCUGUUUGGUGAGUGUGCUGUUUUUGUCAGUCCACAAAUGCAGGCACAUGCACUGACAUUGUAUAUUUAUAAAAGAAGAAAAAAAAGUAUUAUUACCAUAUACACUCACUGUAUACAACAAAGCAUCUGCAGAAAUAACUGCAAAUGGCACAUUAAGACUAGUCGCUGUAAA